UGAGUCAAAGUGUGAGAAUUUCAUAAUAGUAAAAACAUUAUGACAGACACAUCAAAUUAUAAGCUAAUCAAAAGCAACAUAGAAUUAUGUAUAAAUAAAUUGUUACGCGGACAAGCAGUAACAUUUUUUCCCAACACAAGUCGGAAAUUUAUAAUUGAGACAUACAUCCUUUGCACAAUCCAUAUUAGUUUUGCAGGGGAUUAAACCUGUAUUUUAAAAGGAGUACAUGAAUGUUACUAGAAGAUGAUGGAAUAUUUUUCAUAUGAUAAAGAAGAAAUAUUGAAAUUUGUGUGAACAUGGACUUACUAUGUUGACCUAGAAUUACGGAAAUCAUGAUGAUGAAAGCAUAAACAAUUUUUUGAAUUUCAGCCAUAUUUUGU
This 380-nucleotide long non-coding RNA is filed under the name Medicago truncatula (barrel medic). RNAcentral describes it as "lncRNA gene11597". The record is from RNAcentral. Lineage: Eukaryota; Viridiplantae; Streptophyta; Magnoliopsida; Fabales; Fabaceae.